RNA transcript from Lathyrus oleraceus (garden pea), 1345 nucleotides. It is a transcript of the gene named glyoxylate/hydroxypyruvate reductase HPR3, with no coding region annotated. NCBI's taxonomy places the organism in Eukaryota, Viridiplantae, Streptophyta, Magnoliopsida, Fabales, Fabaceae. The transcript has 3 exons. The record is from RefSeq and is a predicted model, not a curated record.
UUCCUUGUCCUUGUUUUCAAAGGAGACGCAACAAUGCUUAUCUUGGUACGUAUUUCCAAAGCAGACGCAACGACGCAUUAUCUUCUACGUCCUUGUUUCCAAUUAAAACUCUCAGCCACACAUCAACCCAACCUCACUAGACUGUGACAAUACCCAAUGGCAGCAAAUCAAAACGUCAAGACCAGCACCACCAGCAGUAGCAUUCAACAAUCCCAAAACAUUCUCCCAAAUAUAUUCAUUCACGGUCCUCCCAAAUUCUCCAUAUUCCUCCAACCAAAUCCUUCUCACAACUUCCACAUCCUAAACCCUUCUUGUCUUCCCCCUCUCCACCAAUUCAUAGCCACCAAUCCUCACCAUGCUUCCUCCAUCCACGCCAUUCUCUGUACCACUCUCUUCCCCGUCAAUGCAGAAGUUCUAGACCUUCUCCCCUCCCUCCGCCUUGUUUGCGCCUCAACCGCCGGAAUUAAUCACAUUGAUCUCGCUGAGUGUAAGCGUCGGGGAAUCCACGUCACCGAUGCCGGAAAUACUUUCUCAGAGGAUGUUGCUGAUAUGGCUGUCGGGUUGUUGAUUGAUGUCAGUCGAAAAAUUUCUGUGGCGGAUAGCUUCUUGAGACGAAAGCUUCAGCAUGCAUCUUGGGAUUUUCCACUUGGUUCUAAAUUGACAGGAAAAAAGAUUGGAGUUGUUGGUAUGGGAAGAAUUGGCUCAGAAGUAGCAACGAGGCUUGAAGCAUUCAGCUGCAAGAUAUCAUACAACUCUAGAAACAAAAAAUCAUCAAUUUCAUACCCUUUCUAUUCAAGUGUCUUAGAGCUUGCAACUAACACCAAUGUACUUAUUCUCUGUUGUGCACUAAAUGACGAAACAAGACACAUUGUGAACAAACAAGUCAUGUUGGCAUUGGGAAAAGGAGGAAUCAUAGUGAAUGUUGGAAGAGGUGGUCUCAUUGAUGAAAAGGAAUUGUUAAGGUGUUUGAUUGAAGGUGAGAUUGGAGGUGCUGGUUUGGAUGUGUUUGAGAAUGAACCUCAUGUUCCUAAAGAGUUAUUUUCUUUGGAUAAUGUUGUUCUUUCACCACAUGCAGCUGUGUUAACUUCAGAGUCUUUCAAUGGUAUCAGCAAAGUUGUGGAAGAAAAUUUGAAAGCCUUCUUUUCAAAUAAGCCUCUGAUUACUCCAGUUAUAUAGUUCGAUUGAAUUGUUUAUUCACAUAUUCUGUUGCACUUUUGUUGAAUCCUCCUGAACCUGUUUGUUCUUUUGAUGUUUCUAGGCCAUGCUCGUGUGGUCAGUGAUCAAUAAGCUGUUUAAAUAAAAUAGUUUUCAAUGUGAUUCUUAUGAGAAAUUCUCUCAACUCUCA